AAACCAGCACCUCAAGUGGUCAGGAGGAUUAUUGGGCCUAAAGCAUCCGUAGCCUGCUCUGUAAGUUUCCGGUUAAAUUCAUUAGCUCAACUAAUGGGCCGCCGAAAAUACUGUAGAACUAGGGAGUGGGAGAGGUAGACGGUAUUCGGUAGGAAGGGGUAAAAUCCUUUGAUCUAUUGAGGACCACCUGUGGCGAAGGCGGUCUACCAGAACACGUUCGACGGUGAGGGAUGAAAGCUGGGGGAGCAAACCGGAUUAGAAACCCCAGUAGUCC
Molecule: ribosomal RNA, 274 nt
Filed under: uncultured bacterium
Lineage: Bacteria
Description: partial 16S ribosomal RNA
Rfam family: Archaeal small subunit ribosomal RNA
Source: RNAcentral